RNAcentral lists this long non-coding RNA (1613 nucleotides) under Cottoperca gobio. RNAcentral describes it as "lncRNA (ENSCGOG00000008114.1)". Lineage: Eukaryota; Metazoa; Chordata; Actinopteri; Perciformes; Bovichtidae. The record is from RNAcentral.
CCGCUCGCGGGAUUUAAUCUGCGUCCUCUUUUAUGACCACCACGCUUCGUUUUCUUCAAUCUGCUGCCGGACUCUUCGGUCACCACUCCCCCCGCCCGAGUCCAUCCUUCACGAAGCCUGCCGCUGCUUAAACGUGGAGGGAAGGACACGGAGAGGGACGCUCGCCGCUAACUGCGCGGGGUUAUUGUUAGUCUGUUAAAAUUUACGGCUCUAUCGACAUAUUAAGUGCAUUUUUACCUCAGCGCUGCACCGAAAGGGAGGGACUGUUUGUUUCUCCGAGAGUCUUCAACAACAGAACCGGCGGUUGGAAGGAUAUUUAAAGUGUUUGAGAACUGGCCAAUCAAGACAAGUGUGAGCCCCUGCACCCUGUACGUCAACGUCCACACUAAAAAAAAAAAAAAAAAAGAUUUAAGGAGGGAAUGAAACCGGAUGGGGAUACCAUGGAAACCACGGAGCCCACUGAAGUUGCAGCAGUAGCAGAGCCCUCCUUGUCGCAGGACAACACAACAGAGCAAGCCCCAUCGCAACCGGAGGGAGCUGCAAAUGAUGUAGCCCCCGAGGCUGCUCCAAAGUCCAAUGGCAAACCAGUGGCAGCAGACUCCAAAGUCAAACCAAAAGGUGUUUCAACUAAAAUACAGCCAGCAGCCAAAUCUGCAGGGGCCUCCGGAUCACGGCCAGGUAUUUCCUUGCACCGCACGGUGAGCGACGUAAAAUUAUCUAACAAUGUCUCUGCAACUGCAGUCAAGAAAAAUGCAACCACAACAAAAGCAUCAGCAGUGGGGGCUGUGCCUAAAAGACUGGUGGGUGCAGCAGCUGCAGCUUCCUCCACAGUCAAGAACCAAUCUAGAGUGCCUGACAAGAAGCCUGUUGGACCGGCUAGGACUACCUCCGUUGCUGCUGCCACAUCAACGGAUGGUACCAAACCAACAACAGUGAAUGGCACCCCUAAGAAGAGACCAGUAGCUGAGACUGUUAAUGUAGCUAGACCCAAAAUCACAACUACUGCCAGCAGAGCAGCAGCGUCCACUGCCCCAAAACCCAGCACUUCGACCACGACAAAAGCUGUUGGUGCAACGACAAAAGCUGUUGGUGCAACGACAAAAGCUGGUGGUCCCGCUCUUUCAAAGACCACAAGGCCUACUACAGGUCCCCCAACAUCUCGACCUGCAUCCACCACAUCCAGGCUCACCACAGAUGUCGUCAAGCCCUCCACCACUGCAACUGCCAGAACCUGCUGCCUCUAGAGUUACCACAGCACCCUCUACUGGCAGGACCACAGCAGCACAGCCUCCCAGAGCUGUUGCUGCGAAGAAAGGUAAGGGGUUGUGCCUUUUCUGAAGCCAUGUCUCAUUUAUAUUUGGAUCGCAUACAGUACCAUAAAUCCUUGAGACCUUAAAUGUCUACAAUAAAUUGGUUGACCUUAGUCUCGGCAAUAAAAGAUAAAUAAGGAUGUUUUAUUAUUGACACUGAGAUUUGGUGAAUUGACGUUUUUUUCUCUCUUUGCACCAGAUGUCAGUCGACCACCUUCUGCUGCGGUGGCAAAGAGACCUACAACGGCUACAGCAUCCACUUCUACCAAAAAACCUGAACCCUCUCGACCCACAGCCACAGCA